This 253-nucleotide ribosomal RNA is filed under the name uncultured bacterium. Its description in RNAcentral is "partial 16S ribosomal RNA". It matches the Rfam family "Bacterial small subunit ribosomal RNA", at positions 524 to 776 of the family's 1533-position model. The record is from RNAcentral.
UACAGGGGGUGCAAACGUUGCUUGGAAUCAUUGGGCGUAAAGCGCACGUAGGCGGUUCGUUAUGUCGGAUGUGAAAGCCCUUGGCUUAACCGAGGAAGUGCAUCCGAAACUGGCGAGCUAGAGUACUAAAGAGGAUCGCGGAAUUCCCGGUGUAGAGGUGAAAUUCGUAGAUAUCGGGAGGAACACCGGUGGCGAAGGCGGCGAUCUGGGUAGAUACUGACGCUGAGGUGCGAAAGCGUGGGGAGCAAACAGG